AUUUGGAGACCCACCGGGCUCCAGUGACAAAGUUGAAUAAUUAUAUUAGGCUCUGAAAAAUAUUGUAAAAUGUCUGCUAGCACGCCGAAAUUGUUUUACAAAUUGCGAUACCCAACUAUGAUGUGCAGUUUCCUCGUUGGAGCCUACACGGCUUUUACGUUUCGGCACACUUUAAUGGGAGAUUUGGAACCGAAACGUGAGAUUUUGUUCGCAGAAGACAAAGAAAGUCGAGCUCUCGGAGAGCAGGCAAUAAGAGAUCAUGCGCAACAAUCCUGAGCGCCCACAAGUACAAGUUUUUCAUCUUUGCUGUUCAAACUACUCAUCAUUUGUAAAUACGGGGUACUUAUGUGCUGAUACAGUACUGUUUGUAUAUCCAGGAUAUUGCAGAUGCCAGCAGCAAUUGUCAUUGCCAUACACGUUAUAUUUUUCUUGAUCCACUUAGGUAGACUUAGGUAGAUACAAUACUAUACUGCAUUUAUGUAUGUACAUACAGUUAUUCUAAAGUAUGUCAGGAAAUGUUUUAUUUAAUAUAGGUAUAUAAGAAAAGGGUGAAACUAAUGAUUUACCCUACAUGUGUACAGUAUUCGAGUUGUAUAAAACUGUAAUACCUUCUAUAAGUUGAUAAUAAUGCGAGCAAUCACGUAA
Neodiprion fabricii is the source of this 645-nucleotide long non-coding RNA. RefSeq lists it as uncharacterized. The transcript is spliced from 2 exons. The record is from RefSeq and is a predicted model, not a curated record. Lineage: Eukaryota; Metazoa; Arthropoda; Insecta; Hymenoptera; Diprionidae.